Non-coding RNA from Pelobates cultripes (western spadefoot toad), 226 nucleotides. The record is from the annotation of a GenBank genome assembly. NCBI's taxonomy places the organism in Eukaryota, Metazoa, Chordata, Amphibia, Anura, Pelobatidae.
ACAAGCUCUCACACAUACUCACAGAGACACACAUAACCCCAUACAAGCAUACACCACUGCACAUUCCCAGGAACAUACAGACAUAGAUAUGCACUCCUCAUUCCAGGUACACACACUCGCUGUCAGACACACACUGACUACCCAACACAUGGCCAUUGUCCGAUACAAACCCUAAUUUACAAACAUAUACACUGCCAGACAUAUACACACACACUUAGAAAUAUUU